CUUGCCGUCCUCCGUGUGCGCUGCGAGAGAGAAAACCAGAGCUGGAGGGGCUGGGCAGGGAGGAGGGAACCGAGCCCGGUGCCCCCUCCGCCCGCACCGACCUUUCUCGUGCUGCAGCCACCUGCGCUCCAGAGGGGAAAAAAAACCCAGAAGAGGCCGUGGCUCACCUUUCCCAGCAGCUCCUGGGGAGUGUAGGCUGAGCUGGGCUUGAAGAGCGAGCCAGUCUGGCUCAGGGUGGUCACAAUGGCACCUCCACUCUGGAAGGCAGAGCAGAAAUAAAAAUCCUGUCAGCUGCAAA
Long non-coding RNA from Onychostruthus taczanowskii (white-rumped snowfinch), 298 nucleotides. RefSeq lists it as uncharacterized. Lineage: Eukaryota; Metazoa; Chordata; Aves; Passeriformes; Passeridae. The transcript has 2 exons. The record is from RefSeq and is a predicted model, not a curated record.